AUUGAACGCUGGCGGCAUGCCUUACACAUGCAAGUCGAACGGCAGCACGGGAGCAAUCCUGGUGGCGAGUGGCGAACGGGUGAGUAAAGUAUCGGAACGUGCCCAGUCGUGGGGGAUAACGUAGCGAAAGUUACGCUAAUACCGCAUACGAUCUAUGGAUGAAAGCGGGGGAUCGCAAGACCUCGCGCGAUUGGAGCGGCCGAUAUCAGAUUAGGUAGUUGGUGGGGUAAAGGCUCACCAAGCCGACGAUCUGUAGCUGGUCUGAGAGGACGACCAGCCACACUGGGACUGAGACACGGCCCAGACUACCACGGGAGGCAGCAGUGGGGAAUUUUGGACAAUGGGCGCAAGCCUGAUCCAGCCAUGCCGCGUGCAGGAUGAAGGCCUUCGGGUUGUAAACUGCUUUUGUACGGAGCGAAAAGGUUUGACUUAAUACGUUGGACUCAUGACGGUACCGUAAGAAUAAGCACCGGCUAACUACGUGCCAGCCGCCGCAGUAA
This 500-nucleotide ribosomal RNA is filed under the name uncultured bacterium. RNAcentral describes it as "partial 16S ribosomal RNA". It matches the Rfam family "Bacterial small subunit ribosomal RNA", at positions 30 to 523 of the family's 1533-position model. The record is from RNAcentral.